RNAcentral lists this transfer RNA (74 nucleotides) under Otolemur garnettii (small-eared galago). It matches the Rfam family "tRNA". From Rfam's summary of the family: Transfer RNA (tRNA) molecules are approximately 80 nucleotides in length. Lineage: Eukaryota; Metazoa; Chordata; Mammalia; Primates; Galagidae. The record is from Rfam by way of RNAcentral.
GUGCCUGUAGCUCAGAGGGGUAGGGCACCGGCCCCAUAUGCCGGAGGUGGCAGGUUCAAACCCAGCCCUGGCCA